GUGGUAUUGGUGGUGUACUUAGGAUAACUCAACAGGUUUACAGGUCCGCCGCCGCCAAGUCGCCGACAAGUCGUAGCCGGCGCACCGGACAACGGCAACAAGGUCUAUCCAAAUAAAUCACACCCUCUUCCUCCUCCGUUACAGGGAUUAGGGAUAAGAACUCACCACACGCACACGCUACCUAAUCCGGCCCACGAAGCUUGCUCGGUCCACCCUUGGAGUUCUUUGCCGCCUUCUCGUCAGGUCUGCUGACAUCUUUCCCCCCAAGCUGGUGCCGCUGGAAAUCUUUGCUUGGCAUCAUGUUCAUCUUCCCAGGUUGCCAUGGACGGAGGCCAACCCGACCAGCGCACCAGGAGCUGAGGAAUCACCUUGCCAGCUCGCUGACAGAGACGUCUGUCCACAACGGCAACAGGAUAUCGUAGAUUGUUGUCAGGAUCAGGAAUCUCAGUACUGACCUGUGUAUGCACUCCCAGCGCCGGCUUGAGUUGAGACACAUGAAAGAUGGGAUGAAUGGCACUGGAAC
This 523-nucleotide long non-coding RNA is filed under the name Panicum hallii. Its description in RNAcentral is "long non-coding RNA (PHAL_LNC000765)". Lineage: Eukaryota; Viridiplantae; Streptophyta; Magnoliopsida; Poales; Poaceae. The record is from RNAcentral.